Molecule: long non-coding RNA, 568 nt
Organism: Bufo gargarizans (Asiatic toad)
Lineage: Eukaryota; Metazoa; Chordata; Amphibia; Anura; Bufonidae
Exons: 4
Source: RefSeq, a predicted model, not a curated record
ACUUAGAUCUAUUAGAUGAUCGCUCUUGCAAUUUCUAGCCUGUUGAAUCCUCAUAGUGAUUUUAUUUUCUUGCGCAUGUCUCUACACUUGGGAUUUUAUUGUCUGAGCGGAUCAGUUAGGUAACUUGCAGAUUGAUUCUUGUUACCGGAUCUAUUGGGAGGUAUGACGUUAGACUGGGGACAAAUGGGGAUAUCACCUCAUCGACAUAGCCACUAAUCCCCUCACAUAGGCUCUCGUUCCCGGAUACUAUAGGUCUUCCUGGGACCGGAUGUCUUUUUUUGUGGAUCUUAGGAAUUGCAUAGAAUGUUGCAAGUACUGGAUUCGGGGAGAUGCUACGUCUUUGGCUGAUAUCCCCACUUGUCCCGGUCCUUCUGGUGUGUCCCUGAUGCUAAAAAAGAAGACGAAGAAACUGAAGAUGGAGAGGGUAAGUGUGGAGCUGAAUUUGAUGUUCCUAUUGGAGCUUGCGUUGCUGCAAAUGGGAAGGAUGGAAUUGAGGAGAAAAGUGUAGGGACUAUUUCCGUAGUUUUUCCCCCACUUGUGACUGGUUCUCUCUCUACAUUCUGUGCUA